GCCUUCGUGGUGUAGUGGUCAGCACGCUCGACGCAAACUCGAGAGGUCCGUGGUUCGAGUCCCGGCGAGGGUA
This 73-nucleotide transfer RNA is filed under the name Stegodyphus dumicola. RNAcentral's name for it is "tRNA-Leu". It matches the Rfam family "tRNA". From Rfam's summary of the family: Transfer RNA (tRNA) molecules are approximately 80 nucleotides in length. Their secondary structure includes four short double-helical elements and three loops (D, anti-codon, and T loops). Lineage: Eukaryota; Metazoa; Arthropoda; Arachnida; Araneae; Eresidae. The record is from RNAcentral.